AGGAGGAACAGCCCCAGUGGCCGGGCCGGCUCUGGAGCCCUGGAUUCAGCUCCUGCUAUAGCUACAGAGCUCUCAGCCUGCAGGACCUGGAGGCUUGGGGCGGG
RNAcentral lists this microRNA precursor (104 nucleotides) under Canis lupus familiaris (dog). RNAcentral's name for it is "mir-8834 microRNA precursor family". It matches the Rfam family "mir-8834 microRNA precursor family". The record is from Rfam by way of RNAcentral. Lineage: Eukaryota; Metazoa; Chordata; Mammalia; Carnivora; Canidae.